GGAAGUGAUCCCUCUGUGGGCACACCUUCUUCCUGCCGGCCACCUCCAGUAGCCAUGUUGAUGAGGUCAAGGCCCUUCUACCUUCGUCGUGGUUGAUGGCUGGGACCCAGAGUUGUGGAAUCGCGUGACGUCGCAGCGCGGCGCCGCCGCGCAGUAGAGUCUGGACUAGAUCAGUUUCUGACGCACAAAUUCAAGGUCGGGGAGGUUGGUUGGGAGGCAUGGAAGAAAGGCCAUCCAAGAACAUAGCAAGAAGACAGUCAUCUCUAAGCCAGGAAUAGAAGUGUUGCCAGAAACCAGCCUUGUUGGUGGCACCUUGACCUUAAUCUUCCAGCCUGCAGAACUAUCAAUACCCAGUUGUUCCAGGGAGCCUGGGUAGCUCAGUUGGUCAAGUGUCUGACUUUGGCUUAGGUCAUGAUCUCAUGGUUCAUGAGUUCAAGCCCCAUAUUGGGUUUGCUGCUGUCAGCAAAGAGCCUGCCUCAGAUCUUCUGUCCCCCUACCUCAGCCCUUCCCACU
Neofelis nebulosa (Clouded leopard) is the source of this 513-nucleotide long non-coding RNA. RefSeq lists it as uncharacterized. Lineage: Eukaryota; Metazoa; Chordata; Mammalia; Carnivora; Felidae. The transcript has 3 exons. The record is from RefSeq and is a predicted model, not a curated record.